UACGAAGGGGGCUAGCGUUGCUCGGAAUUACUGGGCGUAAAGCGCACGUAGGCGGCUUUCUAAGUCGGGGGUGAAAGCCCGGAGCUCAACUCCGGAACUGCCAUUGAAACUGUGAAACUUGAGGAUGAGAGAGGUGAGUGGAAUUCCCAGUGUAGAGGUGAAAUUCGUAGAUAUUGGGAAGAACACCGGUGGCGAAGGCGGCUCACUGGCUCAUUUCUGACGCUCAGGCGCGACAGCGUGGGGAUCAAACAGG
RNAcentral lists this ribosomal RNA (253 nucleotides) under uncultured bacterium. Its description in RNAcentral is "partial 16S ribosomal RNA". It matches the Rfam family "Bacterial small subunit ribosomal RNA", at positions 524 to 776 of the family's 1533-position model. The record is from RNAcentral.